This 452-nucleotide long non-coding RNA is filed under the name Monodelphis domestica (gray short-tailed opossum). RNAcentral describes it as "lncRNA (ENSMODG00000042742.1)". Lineage: Eukaryota; Metazoa; Chordata; Mammalia; Didelphimorphia; Didelphidae. The record is from RNAcentral.
AAAGGAAUGUUGUCUAAUUAUGAAGACUAAGUUUAACUCCAGAAAAAGAGAGAAGAAAACAUAACUCUUUCCCUUCACUGGGGUGGAAUUUCCAUAUUUUUCAGAUGCUCAGGAGACAUAGGACACUGAAUUGACAAUAGUCAUUAAAGAACUGAAAGAUCAUCACCCAGAAGGCAGCAGAGAGAUGCAUGAUGGUAUGGAGUUCAAAAGUCAUGGGAGUUGAGGAAGAUGAACUAGAAGACCAGGAUACUCACAAAGAUAUUGAGGUAGAAACAAUUCCCCAAACUCUGACCCAGGUCCUGAACUUAUCGGGGGUGGUCAUGGAGAUCCAUAGAUGACAACAAGAAUCUGGCCAGGAUGGAGUGAACUUUAAAUGAGGAGAGUUGCUUGCUGAUUGCUGUAGCAGAGAGGUCUAAAAGUGAUGGUGGGGAAUAAAGAUUAUGUGAACUCCA